GUGCAGUCGAGCGACUGAUUAGAAGCUUGCUUCUAUGACGUUAGCGGCGGACGGGUGAGUAACACGUGGGCAACCUGCCUGUAAGACUGGGAUAACUUCGGGAAACCGAAGCUAAUACCGGAUAGGAUCUUCUCCUUCAUGGGAGAUGAUUGAAAGAUGGUUUCGGCUAUCACUUACAGAUGGGCCCGCGGUGCAUUAGCUAGUUGGUGAGGUAACGGCUCACCAAGGCAACGAUGCAUAGCCGACCUGAGAGGGUGAUCGGCCACACUGGGACUGAGACACGGCCCAGACUCCUACGGGAGGCAGCAGUAGGGAAUCUUCCGCAAUGGACGAAAGUCUGACGGAGCAACGCCGCGUGAGUGAUGAAGGCUUUCGGGUCGUAAAACUCUGUUGUUAGGGAAGAACAAGUAUGAGAGUAACUGCUCGUACCUUGACGGUACCUAACCAGAAAGCCACGGCUAACUACGUGCCAGCAGCCGCGGUAAUACGUAGGUGGCAAGCGUUAUCCGGAAUUAUUGGGCGUAAAGCGCGCGCAGGCGGUUUCUUAAGUCUGAUGUGAAAGCCCACGGCUCAACCGUGGAGGGUCAUUGGAAACUGGGGAACUUGAGUGCAGAAGAGAAAAGCGGAAUUCCACGUGUAGCGGUGAAAUGCGUAGAGAUGUGGAAGAACAGCCAGUGGCGAAAGCGGCUUUUUGGUCUGUAACUGACGCUGAGGCGCGAAAGCGUGGGGAGCAAACACGAUUAAUACCCUGGUAUCCACC
Molecule: ribosomal RNA, 760 nt
Filed under: Priestia megaterium
Lineage: Bacteria; Bacillati; Bacillota; Bacilli; Caryophanales; Bacillaceae
Description: bacterial SSU rRNA
Rfam family: Bacterial small subunit ribosomal RNA
Source: RNAcentral